GACUAGCCUGGUCCNCGCGAAUGCCUCUAGAUUAAAGUUUGAUCAUGGCUCAGACCUGAACGCUGGCGGUAGGCCUAACACAUGCAAGUCGAACGGCAGCACAGGAGAGCUUGCUCUCUGGGUGGCGAGUGGCGGACGGGUGAGGAAUACAUCGGAAUCUACUCUGUCGUGGGGGAUAACGUAGGGGAACUUACGCUAAUACCGCAUACGACCUACGGGUGAAAGCAGGGGAUCUUCGGACCUUGCGCGAUUGAAUGAGCCGAUGUCGGAUUAGCUAGUUGGCGGGGUAAAGGCCCACCAAGGCGACGAUCCGUAGCUGGUCUGAGAGGAUGAUCAGCCACACUGGAACUGAGACACGGUCCAGACUCCUACGGGAGGCAGCAGUGGGGAAUAUUGGACAAUGGGCGCAAGCCUGAUCCAGCCAUACCGCGUGGGUGAAGAAGGCCUUCGGGUUGUA
RNAcentral lists this ribosomal RNA (457 nucleotides) under uncultured bacterium. RNAcentral describes it as "bacterial SSU rRNA". It matches the Rfam family "Bacterial small subunit ribosomal RNA", at positions 1 to 427 of the family's 1533-position model. The record is from RNAcentral.